CUCCAGUUGAUCGCAUGGUCUUCUGGGAAAGCUUUCGCGGUAUGGGAUGGGGUCGCGUCCUAUCAGCUUGACGGCGGGGUAACGGCCCACCGUGGCUUCGACGGGUAGCCGGCCUGAGAGGGCGACCGGCCACAUUGGGACUGAGAUACGGCCCAGACUCCUACGGGAGGCAGCAGUGGGGAAUAUUGCACAAUGGGCGUAAGCCUGAUGCAGCGACGCCGCGUGAGGGAUGGAGGCCUUCGGGUUGUAAACCUCUUUUAUCGGGGAGCAAGCGAGAGUAAGUUUACCCGUUGAAUAAGCACCGGCUAACUACGUGCCAGCAGCCGCGGUAAUACGUAGGGUGCAAGCGUUAUCCGGAAUUAUUGGGCGUAAAGGGCUCGUAGGCGGUUCGUCGCGUCCGGUGUGAAAGUCCAUCGCUUAACGGUGGAUCCGCGCCGGGUACGGGCGGG
RNAcentral lists this ribosomal RNA (449 nucleotides) under uncultured Bifidobacterium sp. RNAcentral describes it as "bacterial SSU rRNA". It matches the Rfam family "Bacterial small subunit ribosomal RNA", at positions 173 to 640 of the family's 1533-position model. The record is from RNAcentral. Lineage: Bacteria; Bacillati; Actinomycetota; Actinomycetes; Bifidobacteriales; Bifidobacteriaceae.